CACACCGCCCGUCACACUAUGGGAGUUGGUCUUACCCGACGGCGCUGCGCCAACCGCAAGGAGGCAGGCGCCCACGGUAUGGCUGGUGAUUGGGGUG
Molecule: ribosomal RNA, 97 nt
Filed under: uncultured bacterium
Lineage: Bacteria
Description: partial 16S ribosomal RNA
Rfam family: Bacterial small subunit ribosomal RNA
Source: RNAcentral